CACGUAGGAGCCAAGCGUUAUCCGAAUUCACUGGGCGUAAAGCGCGUGUAGGCGGUUUUAUAAGUUGGAUGUGAAAGCUCCUGGCUCAACUGGGAGAGUGCGUUCAAUACUGUAGAACUAGAGGACGGCAGAGGGAGGUGGAAUUCCCGGUGUAGUGGUGAAAUGCGUAGAUAUCGGGAGGAACACCAGUGGCGAAAGCGGCCUUCUGGGCCGUUUCUGACGCUCAGACGCGAAAGCUAGGGGAGCGAACGGG
This 253-nucleotide ribosomal RNA is filed under the name uncultured bacterium. RNAcentral describes it as "partial 16S ribosomal RNA". It matches the Rfam family "Bacterial small subunit ribosomal RNA", at positions 524 to 776 of the family's 1533-position model. The record is from RNAcentral.